This 264-nucleotide ribosomal RNA is filed under the name uncultured archaeon. RNAcentral describes it as "partial 16S ribosomal RNA". It matches the Rfam family "Archaeal small subunit ribosomal RNA", at positions 719 to 982 of the family's 1478-position model. The record is from RNAcentral.
ACACGACUCAUUAGAUACCCGCGUAGUCCUAGCCGUAAACGAUACUCGCUAGGUGUCGGCCACGGUGCGACCGUUGUCGGUGCCGUAGGGAAGCCGUGAAGCGAGCCACCUGGGAAGUACGGCCGCAAGGCUGAAACUUAAAGGAAUUGGCGGGGGAGCACCACAACGGGUGGAGCUUGCGGUUUAAUUGGAUUCAACGCCGGAAAUCUUACCGGGACCGACAGCAACAUGAAGGCCAGGCUGAAGACUUUGCCGGAUUAGCUG